This 1137-nucleotide small RNA is filed under the name Pongo abelii (Sumatran orangutan). Its description in RNAcentral is "processed transcript". The record is from RNAcentral. Lineage: Eukaryota; Metazoa; Chordata; Mammalia; Primates; Hominidae.
ACACUGUCAGGGCUAGCCUUCCUGCUUACGCGCGCUGCGGAUUGUUGCUCCGUUGUACCUGCUGGGGAAUUCACCUCGUUACUGCUUGAUAUCUUCCACCCCUUACAAAAUCAGUAAAGUUGUGUUUUCUAAUACCAAAGAGGAGGUUUGGCUUUCUGUGGGUGAUUCCCAGACACUGAAGUGCAAAGAAGAGACCCUCCUAGAAAAGUAAAAUAUGACUAAAAGCAAUGGAGAAGAGCCCAAGAUGGGCGGCAGGAUGGAGAGAUUCCAGCAGGGAGUCCGUAAACGCACACUUUUGGCCAAGAAGAAAGUGCAGAACAUUACAAAGGAGGAUGUUAAAAGUUACCUGUUUCGGAAUGCUUUUGUGCUGCUCACUGUCACCGCUGUCAUUGUGGAUGAAAAAACUGAAGCCCAAAUCCUUAUCACACAGCUGAUGAAUACUGAGUGGGAUUCAAAUCCACCGUUCUGGCUCCAGGUGUUCAUUCACCACACUGUUCUGGGUGCUAUAACACCCAUUCUGGCUUUACUCCAGCAAUUUGCUGAGGGUCUGCCUGAGGUAGCAAUGGAAGAGAUGGAAAAGAGAGGUCGAACUGAAAGACCACUGGUGAGACUUGGCAAUUGAUUCAAUGAGAGAAGGUGGACUGCAGACCGAUGGCCCAGUUUCUGGCUUAGGUGGCAGAGUGGCUGAUGACGCCACAUUUGAAGGUAGGAUACAGGAAAAAGACUGGGGCCUUGGGGGUGCACGAGGAUAAGUUCAGUUUGGACCUGUUGAGUUUGUGGUGUGGGAUGCCACCGAGGUAGAUAUACAAUGGAAGAACCUUGCUGCAAAUCAAGACUUAGAAGGUAUUCCUCCAACCUCCAAACUGAACGAAGACAGUUCUGUCUUUGGAUUUCAAGUGAAUAAGGAUCAGUGAAUUGGGCUAUCCUACUGUAUAAAUGAGUCUACUCUGUAAGUGAGUCAAUUCUCAGAACAGUUUCCAUAACUCUAGGGCCCUCUCCUUCAUGCUUAAAAACACUAAUCUUUCAGAAAUGCUAUAGUGGUGUUCUGUGCCUGGAUGUAACUGGCCAAGCCAGUUAGGUCAGCCAAGCAGGUUAAUCAAUGUGGUUUGCUAUCAGCUGCUGGACUGAACUGACCUG